GAUGAAGAACGUAGCGAAAUGCGAUAAGUAAUGUGAAUUGCAGAAUUCAGUGAAUCAUCGAAUCUUUGAACGCACAUUGCGCCCGCCAGUAUUCUGGCGGCAUGCCUGUCUGAGCGUCAUUUCAACCCUCAUGCCCCUAGGGCGUGGUGUUGGGGAUCGGCCAAAGCCCGCGAGGGACGGCCGGCCCCUAAAUCUAGUGGCGGACCCGUCGUGGCCUCCUCUGCGAAGUAGUGAUAUUCCGCAUCGGAGAGCGAUGAGCCCCUGCCGUUAAACCCCCAACUUUCCAAGGUUGACCUCAGAUCAGGUAGGAAUACCCGCUGAACUUAAGCAUAUCAAUAAGCGGAGGA
This 347-nucleotide unclassified non-coding RNA is filed under the name soil metagenome. RNAcentral's name for it is "partial contains 5.8S ribosomal RNA, internal transcribed spacer 2, and large subunit ribosomal RNA". The stretch from base 1 to 119 matches the Rfam family "5.8S ribosomal RNA", at positions 35 to 154 of the family's 154-position model. The record is from RNAcentral.